RNAcentral lists this ribosomal RNA (245 nucleotides) under uncultured bacterium. Its description in RNAcentral is "partial 16S ribosomal RNA". It matches the Rfam family "Bacterial small subunit ribosomal RNA", at positions 111 to 354 of the family's 1533-position model. The record is from RNAcentral.
UAACGCGUGGGGCAACCUGCCCCAUAGAGGGGGACGAACAGCUGGAAACGGCUGCUAAUACCGCAUAACAAGGAGAGAGCGCAUGUUCUUUUCUUCAAAGAUUUAUCGCUAUGGGAUGGACCCGCGUCUGAUUAGCUGGUUGGUGAGGUAACGGCUCACCAAGGCGACGAUCAGUAGCCGGCUUGAGAGAGUGGACGGCCACAUUGGGACUGAGACACGGCCCAGACUCCUACGGAAGGCAGCAG